ACUAGAUGGUGAGACCGGUAAGAUGUCUUGUCUUGUCAUGGCGUCAUGCGAAAAAUGUCGAAAAUUAAGUUUGCUUUUGUGCCGGACGUUAUUUUGUUUUUCGGGAGAAAUUUAGCCUCAAAAUGAUAUGUAUUGUCCAGGUUAAACCAUAGUCUAUGGUUUUACAUAUGGAUUAACUUUAUCCUGGGCAUUCAACCUCAAGUUGCUGAAUAUUUCUUAUUAAACUUCAUCUUUAUAUCCUGAAACUUGCUUGCUACUGUGAUCGAGUAGUGAAAUUCUAUCCUGGCUGCCAUUCUCUGUUUCAACCUCCCCGUAGGAAGCACACAACAAACUUCCCAUGGCAGAUAAAGAUAAUUUGCCUCUCAGAAAAAAUGCGAGGUAUCUGGUCGUCCAUCUAAGGAAAAUUAUCAGGCAUUGACGACACGUCCAACGCGGAUCAUCGUCUAUUAUUAUUGAUACGUCAUUUUCGAGCUCAUUUUCUCAGCUGCAAAAAUCGUCUUUUUAUCUGCUAUUCUCUUGCUGUGGACGUUCGUUGGCGUAACUAAACAGUUCGGGAACAAAAGGAGUGGAACAACCGAACAGGAAAGGACUUGGCGGCGCGAUGAUCGAAAACCAUCAACCCAUCUCACGUGGAUCAUCUAAUUUUGGUAUUGUUUUUUAUGUUAGUUAACCCGUUGGCUGCCACGCCUUUG
Molecule: long non-coding RNA, 692 nt
Organism: Daphnia pulex (common water flea)
Lineage: Eukaryota; Metazoa; Arthropoda; Branchiopoda; Diplostraca; Daphniidae
Exons: 6
Source: RefSeq, a predicted model, not a curated record